This is a long non-coding RNA of Ictalurus punctatus (channel catfish), 1620 nucleotides long. The record is from Ensembl. NCBI's taxonomy places the organism in Eukaryota, Metazoa, Chordata, Actinopteri, Siluriformes, Ictaluridae.
AAUAGGGUUUAAACCAUAUGGCAGACAUAGUUGGAAACGCUCAAGCUGUCAAAUACACUCCUCUAGGUGUUUUAUUACGAGCCGUGUGCUGGACUUGCCUGCUAUUUUGUCAUAUAAUGUAGAUAUUUUAGAAGAUUAUAAAAGAAACCAAAAUAUAGUGGGAUUAUAUAAUUAACGUGGCAUCUUAGUAUUGUACGAUUGUCGGGAUGAACAGUUCCCUCCUUCUUAAUCCCGCCCCCAACUUGGAUUUUAAGAUGAAGGUUUAAUUUCUAUACACGCUCGUUUGAAUUUUUUUACAUUCACUGCUUGGGAAUGAAACCUUUCGGUCCGUCUUGAAUAUAAGCCUCCAUUUCAGGUUGGAUUUAACGAUAUAGUUUAGAAAACACUGCUUAUUUAAUACAGAAAAAAACAACAAAAAGAUGUUUUCACUUGUGUGCGACCAUCACAGGCUGCAGAUUGUUUUGGAUUUUAUGUUCUAAAGGAUGUAAAUUAAGUUAUUAUUUGGCUCUAUGGAAAUCAAAGUUGUGUUGAAAAUCUUGUGAUAUAUUGUGUUGAUUCUUUUUUUUUUUUUUUCUUUUUUUUUUUUUUUCCUCCAUUCCUAGAUUUCCUUUCUUUGAAAGACAGAACCCGGCUGCAGAGCUGUUGACAUUUUGAACUACCGGAAAAAUGAAACGAAACUAAGAGGAACAAAAAAAAAAAAACAAAAACGAAAAAAACAACAACAAAAAAAAAAAAACGGAAUGUGGCUUUUGAAUUUUUUCUAAGAAGAAAAGAUAAUACAUAUAUGAUGAUCAUUUUUCUGCACUAUCCAGAUAUGAAUGAAUUUCUGUGGUGUAAAAUUAGAUGUGCUUCUGUGUGUUAAAAAUCAAAGCUUGUCUUCCUGCAGUCAGUAAAAAAAUAUACUCUAGCAUCUCAACAGUAUUCAGUAGUUGUUAAUAAUUAUUUAUUGUGCUAUAGAGAGGACAACACGAAAUGAAGGCACAUUUACAGGGGAAACUGAUGUAACUAAGAUCCCUAAAAUUCCCUUAUUAUUAUCUCCUAAAUUGGAACUAUGGGGAAGCAUGAUCUUAUGCUUAAUAUGCAAGCUAAUCUCACUUUCCUCUGGUCCUGACCUGAUUUAUUGUUAUUUUUAUUUUUUUUUAAAUGUUCUAUCAGUUUGUUUCCUCAUCAUGAGAUGGUGCAUAAGCUUUAAUCGUUAGCUCAGGCAUGCGUAUCAGAAUCCUGUAACUCCCUGGUAGUUUAUUUCAGAGCAACUUCUGCCAAAACUGUCAGCCUUUCUAUGGUACAGUUUCAUUUCUAAUGGUGAAUGUGAAUGAAUAUGGUAAGUACUUUGUAUACAGAGAGAACUGGACUCCAUUUUUAGAGUUACAACAAUUCCAUUGCCCUGCAAAUAAAAACAACAACAACAACAACAACAACAACCCGACAACAAUACAGAUCAAUAACCACACUCCGUCCCAUUAACUGUUUUUAAGCAUUCUAAUAAUUCUGAAUAAUAUUUCUUGCAAUACAUCAGCUUCUAUGUACUGUACUUAGCAAGCAUGCAUUUUGUGGAACAAAGAAGAUAACAUGCCACUGAUACUUUUGGCACUCUAGAAAAUUUAUGGGUAAAUGAUAAGU